GAAAUCGAUGUCUCGCAAUGAUGGAGCCGAAUGGGUUCGAAAGCAGCAAUUUCGCCCGAUGUUUCGAGCCGGCAAAGUGCGAUAAUAAGCCCGCGGGCAGUCGGUGAGAAUCUGCAAUUCGCUCCGCUCAAAUUGAAUACUCCGUAGGCAGAAUCUGGACUCUCCGUCGAGGGUUAAACCUAAGAUCACCGAUCCGUGA
This is a long non-coding RNA of Apis dorsata (giant honeybee), 199 nucleotides long. RefSeq lists it as uncharacterized. The transcript is spliced from 4 exons. Lineage: Eukaryota; Metazoa; Arthropoda; Insecta; Hymenoptera; Apidae. The record is from RefSeq and is a predicted model, not a curated record.